This 253-nucleotide ribosomal RNA is filed under the name uncultured bacterium. RNAcentral describes it as "partial 16S ribosomal RNA". It matches the Rfam family "Bacterial small subunit ribosomal RNA", at positions 524 to 776 of the family's 1533-position model. The record is from RNAcentral.
UACGGAGGGGGCUAGCGUUGUUCGGAAUGACUGGGCGUAAAGGGCGCGUAGGCGGUUUCUUAAGUCAGACGUGAAAGCCUUGGGCUUAACCUGAGAAUUGCGUUUGAAACUGGGAGACUUGAGGACGAGAGAGGAAAGUGGAAUUCCGAGUGUAGAGGUGAAAUUCGUAGAUAUUCGGAGGAACAUCAGAGGCGAAGGCGGCUUUCUGGCUCGUCACUGACGCUGAGGCGCGAAAGCGUGGGGAGCAAACAGG